RNAcentral lists this ribosomal RNA (476 nucleotides) under uncultured bacterium. RNAcentral's name for it is "partial 16S ribosomal RNA". It matches the Rfam family "Bacterial small subunit ribosomal RNA", at positions 29 to 506 of the family's 1533-position model. The record is from RNAcentral.
AUUGAACGCUGGCGGCAUGCCUUACACAUGCAAGUCGAACGGUAACAGGUUAAGCUGACGCGUGGCGAACGGGUGAGUAAUACAUCGGAACGUGCCCAGUAGUGGGGGAUAGCCCGGCGAAAGCCGGAUUAAUACCGCAUACGACCUAAGGGUGAAAGGGGGGGAUCGCAAGACCUCUCGCUAUUGGAGCGGCCGAUGUCAGAUUAGCUAGUUGGUGGGGUAAAAGCUCACCAAGGCGACGAUCUGUAGCUGGUCUGAGAGGACGACCAGCCACACUGGGACUGAGCAACGGCCCCGCUCCCUAGGGGAGGCAGCAGGGGGGAAUUUUGGAAAAGGGGCGAAAGCCUGACCCAGCCAUGCCGGGGGGGGAAAGAAGGCCUUCGGGUUGUAAACCGCUUUUGUCAGGGAAGAAAUCCUUUGGGUUAAAACCUCGGGGGGAUGACGGUACCUGAAGAAAAAGCACCGGCUAACUACGG